Molecule: ribosomal RNA, 357 nt
Filed under: Escherichia coli
Lineage: Bacteria; Pseudomonadati; Pseudomonadota; Gammaproteobacteria; Enterobacterales; Enterobacteriaceae
Description: partial 23S ribosomal RNA
Rfam family: Bacterial large subunit ribosomal RNA
Source: RNAcentral
AAUGGGUCAGCGACUUAUAUUCUGUAGCAAGGUUAACCGAAUAGGGGAGCCGAAGGGAAACCGAGUCUUAACUGGGCGUUAAGUUGCAGGGUAUAGACCCGAAACCCGGUGAUCUAGCCAUGGGCAGGUUGAAGGUUGGGUAACACUAACUGGAGGACCGAACCGACUAAUGUUGAAAAAUUAGCGGAUGACUUGUGGCUGGGGGUGAAAGGCCAAUCAAACCGGGAGAUAGCUGGUUCUCCCCGAAAGCUAUUUAGGUAGCGCCUCGUGAAUUCAUCUCCGGGGGUAGAGCACUGUUUCGGCAAGGGGGUCAUCCCGACUUACCAACCCGAUGCAAACUGCGAAUACCGGAGAAUG